GAUGAAGAACGUAGCGAAACGCGAUAGUUAAUGUGAAUUGCAGAAUUCAGUGAAUCAUCGAGUCUUUGAACGCACAUUGCGCCUAUUGGUAUUCCAUUAGGCAUGUCUGUUUGAGCGUCAUUACAAACCCUCAGCACUAGCUGGUUAUGAGCUUGUGUCCUUCCUGACCUAAAUGGUUUGAGGGGGGCACUGGCUUCAAAGUUGUAAGCUCUGCGGGCUGCUUUGCUAAACUAAAACAUAGUAAAAUUACUCUUGUUUACGGUGAGGUUUUGCUGGCUCCGCCUGAAUAAUAAAAUCUUUCUAAGGUUUAACCUCAGAUCAGACAAGGAUACCCGCUGAACUUAAGCAUAUCAAUAAGCGGAGGA
This 365-nucleotide unclassified non-coding RNA is filed under the name soil metagenome. RNAcentral describes it as "partial contains 5.8S ribosomal RNA, internal transcribed spacer 2, and large subunit ribosomal RNA". The stretch from base 1 to 120 matches the Rfam family "5.8S ribosomal RNA", at positions 35 to 154 of the family's 154-position model. The record is from RNAcentral.